This 322-nucleotide long non-coding RNA is filed under the name Mytilus galloprovincialis (Mediterranean mussel). Lineage: Eukaryota; Metazoa; Mollusca; Bivalvia; Mytilida; Mytilidae. The record is from RNAcentral.
GAGAAAAGAAAGAAAAUAAUAUCAAGAAUUUACAAAGAGAAAGAAAGAAAAACUUUUUUUCAAGUUCACAAUAAAUACUAUAGGUAGGUCUUGAAAUAUUAGAGGCUAUCUGGGAUGAUGGUCGGGGAAAUUUGGACUGGCACUGGAAAAUGAGGGUAUAUUGGAUAGGGACAGAAAUUUUGCCUUGCAACAGGCCACCUACGGACCCCUCAAAGAGUUGUUGCAAGAGUUCUUAACGUGCAAAGAGCGUGGCACUUUCUUUACACGAGGCAUCGAAUUUAACGUCACCAAUCUGACCGGACGUGACUGCGAACUUAACACA